This 136-nucleotide ribosomal RNA is filed under the name uncultured bacterium. Its description in RNAcentral is "partial 16S ribosomal RNA". It matches the Rfam family "Bacterial small subunit ribosomal RNA", at positions 355 to 509 of the family's 1533-position model. The record is from RNAcentral.
UGGGGAAUAUUGCACAAUGGGGGAAACCCUGAUGCAGCGACGCCGCGUGAGUGAAGAAGUAUUUCGGUAUGUAAAGCUCUAUCAGCAGGGAAGAUGAUGACGGUACCUGAGUAAGAAGCCCGGCUAACUACGUGCC